AUACUUACCUGGCAGGGAAGAUACCACGGUCACAAAGAUGGUUUUCCCAGGGUAAGGUCACCCAAUGCACUUGGUGUGUCUUAACAAUUAAAUUAAAAAAAAAAAAGAAUUGAACCAGUGUUAUUCAUAUUGCCCACUUGGAACCUUUCCAUAAUAAUUUGUUAACUUUAAGAAUGUUCUCUUUUUUCUUUU
The sequence is a small nuclear RNA, 192 nucleotides long. Its record names the gene U1. It matches the Rfam family "U1 spliceosomal RNA". From Rfam's summary of the family: U1 is a small nuclear RNA (snRNA) component of the spliceosome (involved in pre-mRNA splicing). Its 5' end forms complementary base pairs with the 5' splice junction, thus defining the 5' donor site of an intron. There are significant differences in sequence and secondary structure between metazoan and yeast U1 snRNAs, the latter being much longer (568 nucleotides as compared to 164 nucleotides in human). The record is from Ensembl.